This 74-nucleotide transfer RNA is filed under the name bacterium. RNAcentral's name for it is "tRNA-Asp". It matches the Rfam family "tRNA". Rfam says of the family: Transfer RNA (tRNA) molecules are approximately 80 nucleotides in length. Their secondary structure includes four short double-helical elements and three loops (D, anti-codon, and T loops). The record is from RNAcentral. RNAcentral also lists the same sequence under 1 other name.
GGAGCGGUAGCUCAGCUGGUUAGAGCGCUGCCCUGUCACGGCAGAGGUCGCGGGUCCGAGUCCCGUCCGCUCCG